GGUGGUAUGGCUCAAAUGGUAGAGUGUCUGCUUACCAAGCAGGCAAAGCCUUGAGUUCAACCCCCAGUACUAGUG
Molecule: transfer RNA, 75 nt
Filed under: Dipodomys ordii (Ord's kangaroo rat)
Lineage: Eukaryota; Metazoa; Chordata; Mammalia; Rodentia; Heteromyidae
Rfam family: tRNA
About the family: Transfer RNA (tRNA) molecules are approximately 80 nucleotides in length.
Source: Rfam by way of RNAcentral